UGCGGGUAGGAGUUAGUUCGCGAUGCCCGAUCUGAUUUGACAGAUAAAAAGGAUGGACCAGUACCCAUUUUCAUUCAUUAAACAGCUCCUUUCAUUCUCCACGAAUCUAAUCUUUCUCUUUCUCGAAGGUCACCGCCGUCGAAUCUCCGCAAGAUGUCUGAUGUGCAACAGGAUCAUGUAUGCUGUGUGACAUCAACGUAGCAAACUUUCUGUGCUGUCUCCUAAUCUAUAAAUAUUACUGUCGUACAAAGAAUUGUCAGCGCCGGCAAGGAGGAUGCAUACUACAUUGUUAGUUGUUACUGGUUGUUUCUUGAAAGUCAUACCCGAUUUGGAAUUGGAGUUUUUUUUUUCAGGCAUAAAUUAGUUUUACACAAUUUGAUAUUACACGCAAGGGUAUAACUGUUAAUAUUCAUGAAAUCAUCUCUAGGCUCUAACUGCGAUAUGAAGUGUGUAAUUUAAUCUGCUUAAUUGUCUUGGCCUCUUGGGUGGAAGAGAUCGGUGCUUGGCAGAACUUGAUGCUAGCUCAUCUGAUCCCUGGACAUGAUUCUUAGUACACAAGAUUAGACUGGAUGAGCAUCACCUAUCUCUUCGUUAACUUUUUUGUUUUUUUCCUUUUAUCUGUUCUUUCUGCAAGCACAUAUCCACUUCAAAGAUCAUCUUGUCUGAAAUGACAAUAGCUCUAAAUUUACAACAUGUUAUCCGUGACAGAAUGAACUACAAUUUUGUUUUCUGCCUCCUUAAAACUUAUAGAACAUAUUCAUCUGUAAUGGGUGGUCGGCACGCAAGGUGGUGCACGGAGGGUGGGCUGUGGGUGGCGGUGCGGGACGUGGAGGCAGGAGCGGCGAACUCCGGGAGGGAGCCAGAGUUGUUAAUAAAUAAGAAGAAGAUGUGAGAGAGUAUAAUAGGUGGGUCCCACUAUUUUUUUUAAAGACAAUGCUAACUGGAUUGUCACGCGUACGUCACGUAGAACAAAAUCACGUUAGAUUG
This is a non-coding RNA of Oryza sativa Japonica Group (Japanese rice), 987 nucleotides long. The record is from RefSeq and is a predicted model, not a curated record. NCBI's taxonomy places the organism in Eukaryota, Viridiplantae, Streptophyta, Magnoliopsida, Poales, Poaceae.